ACAGUCUGAAAAUUACUUCAGCUGUUUUUGUCUUCUGGAGUAAGAUAACUGUGCCAACAGGAAGCUGGUACAUUUAGCUUAUUGUCAGCUGAUGUAGCUGCACGAUGAAACCCAUGUGCCAACACUC
This is a small nucleolar RNA of Ictalurus punctatus (channel catfish), 127 nucleotides long. Ensembl annotates it as Small nucleolar RNA ACA64. The record is from Ensembl. NCBI's taxonomy places the organism in Eukaryota, Metazoa, Chordata, Actinopteri, Siluriformes, Ictaluridae.